RNAcentral lists this ribosomal RNA (493 nucleotides) under uncultured bacterium. Its description in RNAcentral is "partial 16S ribosomal RNA". It matches the Rfam family "Bacterial small subunit ribosomal RNA", at positions 28 to 507 of the family's 1533-position model. The record is from RNAcentral.
GACGAACGCUGGCGGCGUGCCUAACACAUGCAAGUUGAGCGACGAACCAGGGCUUGCCCUGGGGCAAAGCAGCGAACGGGUGAGUAACACGUGGGUAACCUACCCCGAUAACCGGGACAACCCGAGGAAACUCGGGCUAAUACCGGAUGUGCUCACUGGACUUCGGUUCAGUGCGUAAAGGAAGCUUCGGCCUCCGUAUCGGGAGGGGCCCGCGGCCCAUUAGUUGGUUGGUGAGGUAACGGCUCACCAAGACCGCGAUGGGUAGCUGGUCUGAGAGGACGAUCAGCCACACUGGGACUGAGACACGGCCCAGACUCCUACGGGAGGCAGCAGUGGGGAAUCUUGCGCAAUGCGCGAAAGCGUGACGCAGCAACGCCGCGUGGGGGAAGAAGGCCUUCGGGUUGUAAACCCCUUUCAGGAGGGACGAAGGUUCGGCGGUGAAUAGCCGUCCGGACUGACGGUACCUCCACAAGAAGCCCCGGCUAACUACGUG